AAGUGGGCGAGGCUUCGGGCGCCUUGAGCCGCACGCUCGCCUUCUGGCCUGUCGGUUCUCUUGCGAGGCUGGUCUACGGGCUACUUUCCUUAGGUAUUGAAUGGUGGUCUCCUCUAUUGACAUAUGGAAGCAUUGAGUGGGCCAAGAACAAGAAUGGACUCUGGAACAGCAUCAGGCUACAAUAUAUGCAUCCCUUCCACUUGGGCCAUUUGACCCAGCUGAUUGCAUGUUACUGAGAAAGCUGGGGAGAAAAGAAAUGACAGUAUGGAUCAACUCAUGAGGCAAGCCAAAGGGGAAGGAGAUCUAAAAUGGGGAGUAGCAGAAGGAGAUGAUGAACAUCAGUUACAGCUCCCGAACCAAAUGCAACAACAGAGGCCAAAGUUCAUUCCACGAACCCUUCUCUUGCAAGUUUUCUCAAAAAUUGUGGCCAGUCGGGAUCUUGGAGCAGCCAUGCCUAGAUGGAGUGAAUUUAAUGUGAGAAGCAGGGGCGCCUGGGUGGCACAGCAGUUGGGCGUCUGCCUUCAGCUCAGGGCGUGAUCCUGGCGUUGUGGGAUCGAGCCCCACGUCAGGCUCCUCCGCUAUGAGCCUGCU
This is a long non-coding RNA of Ailuropoda melanoleuca (giant panda), 591 nucleotides long. RefSeq lists it as uncharacterized. NCBI's taxonomy places the organism in Eukaryota, Metazoa, Chordata, Mammalia, Carnivora, Ursidae. The record is from RefSeq and is a predicted model, not a curated record. The transcript is spliced from 3 exons.